GAUGAACGCUGGCGGCGUGCCUAAUACAUGCAAGUCGAGCGAACAGACGAGGAGCUUGCUCCUCUGACGUUAGCGGCGGACGGGUGAGUAACACGUGGAUAACCUACCUAUAAGACUGGGAUAACUUCGGGAAACCGGAGCUAAUACCGGAUAAUAUAUUUAACCGCAUGGUUCAAUAAUGAAAGACGGUUUUGCUGUCACUUAUAGAUGGAUCCGCGCCGCAUUAGCUAGUUGGUAAGGUAACGGCUUACCAAGGCAACGAUGCGUAGCCGACCUGAGAGGGUGAUCGGCCACACUGGAACUGAGACACGGUCCAGACUCCUACGGGAGGCAGCAGUAGGGAAUCUUCCGCAAUGGGCGAAAGCCUGACGGAGCAACGCCGCGUGAGUGAUGAAGGUCUUCGGAUCGUAAAACUCUGUUAUUAGGGAAGAACAAAUGUGUAAGUAACUAUGCACGUCUUGACGGUACCUAAUCAGAAAGCCACGGCUAACUACGUG
Molecule: ribosomal RNA, 497 nt
Filed under: uncultured bacterium
Lineage: Bacteria
Description: partial 16S ribosomal RNA
Rfam family: Bacterial small subunit ribosomal RNA
Source: RNAcentral